GACGAACGCUGGCGGCGUGCUUAACACUUGCAAGUCGAACGGAAAGGCCCUGCUUUUGUGGGGUGCUCGAGUGGCGAACGGGUGAGUAACACGUGAGUAACCUGCCCUUGACUUUGGGAUAACUUCAGGAAACUGGGGCUAAUACCGGAUAGGAGCUCCUGCUGCAUGGUGGGGGGGGGAAAGUUUCGGCGGUUGGGGAUGGACUCGCGGCUUAUCAGCUUGUUGGUGGGGUAGUGGCUUACCAAGGCUUUGACGGGUAGCCGGCCUGAGAGGGUGACCGGCCACAUUGGGACUGAGAUACGGCCCAGACUCCUACGGGAGGCAGCAGUGGGGAAUAUUGCACAAUGGGCGGAAGCCUGAUGCAGCAACGCCGCGUGCGGGAUGACGGCCUUCGGGUUGUAAACCGCUUUCGCCUGUGACGAAGCGUGAGUGACGGUAAUGGGUAAAGAAGCACCGGCUAACUACGUG
Molecule: ribosomal RNA, 468 nt
Filed under: uncultured bacterium
Lineage: Bacteria
Description: partial 16S ribosomal RNA
Rfam family: Bacterial small subunit ribosomal RNA
Source: RNAcentral